AACGAACGCUGGCGGCAGGCUUAACACAUGCAAGUCGAACGCGUGCAGCAAUGCACGAGUGGCGCACGGGUGAGUAACGCGUGGAUAUCUGCCUGUUGGUUCGGAAUAACCCCGGGAAACUGGGGCUAAUACCGGAUGGUUCCUACGGGAUAAAGAUUUAUCGCCAAAAGAUGAGUCCGCGUCCGAUUAGCUAGUUGGUGAGGUAAUGGCUCACCAAGGCGACGAUCGGUAGCUGGUCUGAGAGGACGAUCAGCCACACUGGGACUGAGACACGGCCCAGACUCCUACGGGAGGCAGCAGUGGGUAAUAUUGGACAAUGGGGGCAAUCCUGAUCCAGCCAUGCCGCGUGAGUGAUGAAGGUCUUCGGGUUGUAAAGCUCUUUUGGCGGGGACGAUGAUGACGGUACCCGCAGAAUAAGCCCCGGCUAACUUCGUG
RNAcentral lists this ribosomal RNA (435 nucleotides) under uncultured bacterium. RNAcentral's name for it is "partial 16S ribosomal RNA". It matches the Rfam family "Bacterial small subunit ribosomal RNA", at positions 29 to 507 of the family's 1533-position model. The record is from RNAcentral.